Streptomyces ipomoeae 91-03 is the source of this 212-nucleotide non-coding RNA. Lineage: Bacteria; Bacillati; Actinomycetota; Actinomycetes; Kitasatosporales; Streptomycetaceae. The record is from Rfam.
UCCGGGCGGACGCCGAGUCCUGCCGCCGUCCGGAUGACCGGUCGACAGAAGUGCACCGGCAGGAGUGGAGGACCCAAGCACGACGGGUCGCCGGAGCGGUCAAGCCAUGACCGUGCCGAGCAGCCCUUGGGGUGAAGCCGCAUCCGCGGCCGGGCAACUUCGCCAGCCCGAAUCCGACAGGUCAUCCUUCACAGGCGGCUGACGAAGGGUUG